Molecule: ribosomal RNA, 253 nt
Filed under: uncultured bacterium
Lineage: Bacteria
Description: partial 16S ribosomal RNA
Rfam family: Bacterial small subunit ribosomal RNA
Source: RNAcentral
UACAGAGGUCUCAAGCGUUGUUCGGAUUCAUUGGGCGUAAAGGGUGCGUAGGCGGCGCGGUAAGUCGGGUGUGAAAUUUCGAGGCUUAACUUCGAAACUGCAUUCGAUACUGCCGUGCUUGAGGACUGGAGAGGAGACUGGAAUUUACGGUGUAGCGGUGAAAUGCGUAGAUAUCGUAAGGAAGACCAGUGGCGAAGGCGGGUCUCUGGACAGUUCCUGACGCUGAGACGCGAAAGCGUGGGGAGCGAACAGG